AGAGUUUGAUCCUGGCUCAGGAUGAACGCUAGCGGCGGGCUUAAUACAUGCAAGUCGAGGGGCAGCAUAACACUUCGGUGUUGAUGGCGACCGGCGAACGGGUGAGUAACGCGUAUGUAACCUGCCUACUACAGAGGGAUAGCCCAUGGAAACGUGGAUUAAUACCUUAUGGUACAUUUAGACCUCAUGGUUAAAAUGUUAAAGAUUUAUCGGUAGUAGAUGGACAUGCGUCUGAUUAGGUAGUUGGUGAGGUAACGGCUCACCAAGCCAACGAUCAGUAGGGGGUUUGAGAGGAUGAUCCCCCACACUGGAACUGAGACACGGUCCAGACUCCUACGGGAGGCAGCAGUAGGGAAUAUUGGUCAAUGGAGGCAACUCUGAACCAGCCACGCCGCGUGUAGGAAGAAUGUCCUUAGGAUUGUAAACUACUUUUAUCAGGGAAGAAUGACGAGUAUGCGUACUCGGAGCGACGGUACCUGAAGAAUAAGCACCGGCUAACUACGUGCCAGCAGCCGCGGUAAU
This 522-nucleotide ribosomal RNA is filed under the name uncultured bacterium. RNAcentral's name for it is "bacterial SSU rRNA". It matches the Rfam family "Bacterial small subunit ribosomal RNA", at positions 8 to 524 of the family's 1533-position model. The record is from RNAcentral.